GGUAGGCAAGAAAGAACAAAAAGAAGAAUGAGGGAGAAAGGAAAAGGAAGGCUUAGAAAAGUGGAAAAGAAAAAGGAUAGGAUAAUUUAUACGUUUUAUAGCCAAAUUUUAAUGCUUUAGAUGAGCUUUAAUAUUAUUCAUUAAAUAAAAAAUAGUUUAUUGAGUAAACUUUUUUUGUAUAAAAAAAGGAAAUAAUUGAAGAGGAGUUGUGAAGGAAAGUGGUUGUUGUUCGGUGGUUUAACAUAA
Hibiscus syriacus is the source of this 246-nucleotide long non-coding RNA. RefSeq lists it as uncharacterized. NCBI's taxonomy places the organism in Eukaryota, Viridiplantae, Streptophyta, Magnoliopsida, Malvales, Malvaceae. The transcript is spliced from 4 exons. The record is from RefSeq and is a predicted model, not a curated record.